GGGCUUCCAGCGUAGGGCGUAGGGGGAGAGGCCCGAAGCCCUGGAGACAGCGCCCGAGGGAUGGAGGCCGCGCUCGGCUGCGCUCAGGUCCGGGUGGCUCCGGGAGCUGAGACCCCGCAGGAUGCAGCGGGGGGGGGCCAGGGCCUGAUCCCCUACCCCUGCGAGCCAGGGCCGCCUACGCCCCCACUGCUUCCCACAGGCUACUAGACGCAACAAUAGAAUUACCAUAUUGUUUUUCCUGGUUUGAAAGGACCAGAUGGAAAGAAACUGGGCAAGCCAAUGAAAGUCUCUGGGGAUCAUGGGAAUUGAGUGUCUAUGAAAACCAUAUUCCAGACAAGAAUAUAGUCUAAGGUUUAUGGGACUCCCCAGUACUCUCCAUGUAGAGUCUAAUGUAGAAUCCAGGAGUGCACAGAAAAGUCACUGGAUGCUGGAGUGCAAUGGUGCAAUCUUGGCUCACCACAACCUCUGCCUCCCGGGUUCAAGCGAUUCUCCUGACUCAGCCUCCCAAGUGGGGUCGUGGCAUGUUGUCCAGGCUGGAUUUGAACUCCUGGGCUUAUGCAAUCUUCUGAUCCCAGCCUCUUGGGUAGCUGGGACUACAGGCAUGCACCAUAAUACCUGGCCAAAAGGACACAGCAAGAGGCAACAUUUUGGAAGCAGAGGGCAACUCUCACUGGAAACCAAAUCUCCUGGCACCUUGAUCUUGGAUUUUACAGCCUCCAGAACUGAUAGCUGGGAGGCAUUACAUAGUCAUGUGCGAGGUCAAAACUGAGUCACCACCACAACCAAGUUCCAGCUGGCAAGAAGAGGAAAAAUAACACAGAGGAGUUAUGACCAGUGUUGUAAGGAUCUGGCCUAGAAAUGGCAUGCAUCUCUUCCACUAAUAUCCUAUUGGUAAAAAUGUAGUCACAUGGGCACACCACCUAUCUGCAUGGAAGGCUGGGAAAUGUUGAUCGGUAGGGCAGCCAUAUGUGUAGGAAGGAGAAAACAGAAUUUGGUGGAUACCUAGUAGUCUCUGCCAUACCCUUGACCAGAAAUUUUUCUUCUAAAGAAUUUAAUUCUAAAAGUUAUAGACAUUCCCAAAGAUAUACCUGCAAGCAUCACAGCUUUGUGUAUAAUUGCAAAAGUUGAAAUCAACAUGAAUGCCCAAAAUAGUGAAUUAUUUAAACAGAUUAUUACCCAUAUUAUGAAGAAAUACUCUGCAACUCUUAAAAAUAAAUGUAAUGUGCCAGGCGCAAUGGGAUAUGCCUGCAGGCCCAGCUACACGGGAGGCCAAGGCAGGAGGAUCACUUGAAAUCAAGAGUUCAAGUCUAGCCUAGACAACAUAGUGAGACUUGGUCUCUAAAAAAGAAAAAAAAAAAUAAAACUGAUGUAAUGAAUAUAUAAUUACAACAAAAGAGGUCUAACACUAUAGUAGAAAAGUUUGGGGCACUCAUCCCAUUCAUAAUUAUUUUACAUUUAAAUUACUGUUCCUACUUAAGUGGUGAGCUUGGUAACCAUUUUCAUAUCAGGUGAUACUGCUGCAGUAAUCAUAGCUGUUUGAAUCAGGAAUAAUCCCAAUCACAUUUUCUCUUAAUCGUUUAUUAUACUGGGCAUUGGGGUUGCAAGAUAAUGCACAGUCCGAGCUCAAUACAUGUCUUCAUGUACCUGUAUGUAAAUCCCACUUUUAUUCUAAAAUUCUUUGAAUAUUUUGUUUCUUGGAACCCAAUGAUCCUAAGAAAAUUAUGUACUUUUACCUGAAAAUUAAAACCAAUAUUUAUAAAAAGUGUAUAUGCAGUAUGAUACCACUUUUAAAAAAAGAUAAAUUUAUAGAAAAAAGUUUAUAUGACUGACAACAAUGUCUCUGAGUGGUAGGAUUACAGUUAAUUUUUAUUUUCUUCAUUCUACUUAUCUUUAUUUUCUGAACUUUCUACAAUGAACAUGUUUUAUUUUUACUUUUGUUAAAAUAAAUAACAUUUAAUUUGACGGAAAAUUCUAAAAAUCAACAUUUGGUAACUUAAAUAUUCAUUGGCACAUGAUUCUGUGCCUGUUUCUGGGGGUCAUUCCCAUGAGAAGAGCAGGUAGAACUUAUGAGAAUAGAGCAGUCGAAAUAUUAUAGGUUUCAUAUUUUACGGCUUUAUUGAAAACAUUGAUAUAUUGAAUAUUCAUAAAUUUUAAUUUAACUUUCUUUUAUAAUCCUUAAUGUGAGGCUAAGGUAUAAGGAGAAAGGAGAUUGGUAAGGAAGUGUGAUACAUAUUGAAUCAGGUGUCAAGGUACCAUUUGUGCCUGGAUCUGACCAAUAGACCAAGGUAAAAAUCUCAAAGAAUGAGACUUGUAAUGAGAAUGCCACAAACUUGAAUACCUUAUGCACAAAACACAAACAUUGUUAUGCAUAAUGUACAUGAACCCUGAAACAAAGAUAAUGAUUUGGACCACCCAACUGAAGUGGCAUGUUAUGUUUUUGGCAUGAACAAAAGAAACAAGAGAGAAAAAAAUCAAAAUAAUUAAAAUAAAUUGUUAGAGAAAAGUUACUUUAAAAAUAGCUAUAACGCUUUGCAAUUUCAGUAACAGUUCUGCCUCUGAUGCAAUGUAAAACAUGUAUUAGACAUUCAGGCUCCACAAUAAAUUUUAAUGAGCACUACAAAUUUAGAAUAUAUAAAAAUAUCAGUAACCUAUGAAUUCAUCAACAUAACUCACUUUUCAGUUAAGUUAGGCUGAGUUGAAAUUCUACUAAGUUUUCCCAUAUUCUUGAUAAAGGCUAAAUUUGAAAUAAUUUAUUUAGAUGACUAAUUGGCAAUUUGAUAGUAGUUACAUUUUAUGUAACACUUGAUAUAAUAACCCAAAUUAAUUAGCUCAAUAUUAUCUUCUGUGGUUUAUUGAUCCAAAAGUACAUAUUUGUUAUGUAAACUUAUACUAUGUAAACUUGAAUUAGUUUUUUGCUUCCUUGAAUUAAUAAAGCCCAUUAAUGCAAAUCUAAGCCUUCAUAGACUUUUCCAAUCCUUAGUUAAAUAUUAAAAACUGAGUAUUGUAGUUAUUUGCUAGGUAUAAAAGGUGACUCAGAGUAGAGAGUAAGAUGUCAGCAAAUAGACAAUAAGAUGUCAGCAAAAGUGCCUCAAAUUUUAACUGCGUCAAGUUAAGGGCAUUGUAAAUACUGUAGUUUUAUGUAGCUUGCAACUUCUACUGAAAUGAGUUUAAUCAUGUCUUUCACAUAGCUGAAGUUUGUGUCA
RNAcentral lists this long non-coding RNA (3203 nucleotides) under Homo sapiens (human). RNAcentral describes it as "WDFY3 antisense RNA 2". The record is from RNAcentral. Lineage: Eukaryota; Metazoa; Chordata; Mammalia; Primates; Hominidae.